RNAcentral lists this unclassified non-coding RNA (231 nucleotides) under fungal sp. RNAcentral's name for it is "partial internal transcribed spacer region". The stretch from base 1 to 45 matches the Rfam family "Eukaryotic small subunit ribosomal RNA", at positions 1787 to 1831 of the family's 1831-position model. Lineage: Eukaryota; Fungi. The record is from RNAcentral.
AGUCGUAACAAGGUAUCCGUAGGUGAACCUGCGGAUGGAUCAUUACCAAAGAUUUCUUUCAGAUGUCUUGUAAACAGUUUUUAUUCAAUGUCGGCGGUGGAUGCUCUUCCCUUGGGGAGUGAGAGAUUGCCGGCAUUGAAACCCAAAGCACAACGUAUAUACCCAAAAACUAGCGUCUCUUAGUAUUUAUAUAACUAAAGACAACUUUUAGCAAUGGAUCUCUUGGCUCUC